Toxocara canis (dog roundworm) is the source of this 72-nucleotide transfer RNA. It matches the Rfam family "tRNA". Rfam says of the family: Transfer RNA (tRNA) molecules are approximately 80 nucleotides in length. Their secondary structure includes four short double-helical elements and three loops (D, anti-codon, and T loops). Lineage: Eukaryota; Metazoa; Nematoda; Chromadorea; Rhabditida; Toxocaridae. The record is from Rfam.
AGCAGCGUGGCGCAGUGGAAGCGUGCUGGGCCCAUAACCCAGAGGUCGGUGGGUCGAAACCAUUCGCUGCUA